AACGAACGCUGGCGGCAUGCCUAACACAUGCAAGUCGAACGAGACCUCCGGGUCUACUGGCGUACGGGUGCGUAACGCGUGGGAACCUGCCCUUAGGUGCGGAAGAACUCGCCGAAAGGGGUGCUAAUACCGGAUAAUGUCUUCGGACCAAAGGUUUAUCGCCUUUGGAUGGGCCCGAGUUGGAUUAGCUAGUUGGUAGGGUAAAAGCCUACCAAGGCGACGAUGGAUAGCUGGUCUGAGAGGAUGAGCAGACACACUGGCACGGAGACACGGCCCAGACUCCUACGGGAGGCAGCAGAGGGGAAUAUUGGAAAAUGGGCGAAAGCAUGAUCGAGCACUGCCGGGUGAGUGAUGAAGGCCUUAGCGUUGUAAAGCUCUUUUACCCGGGAUGAUCAUGACAGUACCGGGAGAAUAAGCACCGGCUAACUCCGUG
This 433-nucleotide ribosomal RNA is filed under the name uncultured bacterium. Its description in RNAcentral is "partial 16S ribosomal RNA". It matches the Rfam family "Bacterial small subunit ribosomal RNA", at positions 29 to 507 of the family's 1533-position model. The record is from RNAcentral.